RNAcentral lists this ribosomal RNA (460 nucleotides) under uncultured bacterium. RNAcentral describes it as "partial 16S ribosomal RNA". It matches the Rfam family "Bacterial small subunit ribosomal RNA", at positions 338 to 795 of the family's 1533-position model. The record is from RNAcentral.
CCUACGGGGGGCAGCAGUGAGGAAUAUUGGUCAAUGGACGAGAGUCUGAACCAGCCAAGUAGCGUGAAGGAUGACUGCCCUAUGGGUUGUAAACUUCUUUUAUAAGGGAAUAAAACGAGGCACGUGUGCCUGUUUGCAUGUACGUUAUGAAUAAGGAACGGCUAACUCCGUGCCAGCAGCCGCGGUAAUACGGAGGAUCCGAGCGUUAUCCGGAUUUAUUGGGUUUAAAGGGAGCGUAGAUGGGUUGUUAAGUCAGUUGUGAAAGUGUGCGGCUCAACCGUAAAAUUGCAAUUGAUACUGGCAGUCUUGAGUACAGUGGAGGUAGGCGGAAUUCGUGGUGUAGCGGUGAAAUGCUUAGAUAUCACGAAGAACCCCGAUUGCGAAGGCAGCUUACUAAACUGUGACUGACAUUGAUGCUCGAAAGUGUGGGUAUCAAACAGGAUUAGAUACCCUGGUAGUC